Molecule: long non-coding RNA, 549 nt
Filed under: Mus musculus (house mouse)
Lineage: Eukaryota; Metazoa; Chordata; Mammalia; Rodentia; Muridae
Description: RIKEN cDNA 4930500H12 gene
Source: RNAcentral
UAGACUGAAGGAGUCAUGAAGAGAAACCGAGGCUCGGCAUCAUGAAUAAAUCCUAGGACAUUGGUAAAAGCACAGCCCAGUUGCAGUCAAAGAUCCCAGCAUUGUGGAGAUGCCAGUACCUUGGCAUGAUCACCAAGAGCAGCAGUGGCCAUAGAAUGGCGCCUACCCGAGCUUAGAGGACAAGCUGUGUGUGCUACAGAGGAGCUGGAGAAGUGGCCCAAGCCCCUUGUAGGAGGCCAGAAGAUGGUUAGUGAAUCCCAGGUGGCGCCACCUCUGUUUGUAAACUCCAAUCCAGAGCUGUAGUUGUUUCUCCUUUUGGCCCUACACUGUAGAACCAAAGCCGUGCCCAACAGAAGUAGCCUCACCCUGAGUGUCUGAAGCCAGUAUACACGUGAUGAUUUGAGAUGUACUGGCAUCAUAAAAACCAACAUGCGCACAGGUUCACUUGCGAUUGAGUCCUUCAAAAGAACUUCAAUAGGAUUCCCAUCUCUGGCUCUACCUUAUGGUCUCCGUCCUAAAACGAGAGUUAAAGGAAUAUGUGACUGAUCA